Molecule: ribosomal RNA, 253 nt
Filed under: uncultured archaeon
Lineage: Archaea
Description: partial 16S ribosomal RNA
Rfam family: Archaeal small subunit ribosomal RNA
Source: RNAcentral
UACCAGCCCCCCGAGUGGUGAGGACGGUUAUUUGGCCUAAAGCGUCCGUAGCCGGUCUAACAAGUCUCUCGUUAAAUCUGACGACAUAAUCGCCAGGUCGCGGGAGAUACUGUUAGACUAGAGGGCGAGAGAGGUCGACGGUAGUCUCGGGGUAGGGGUGAAAUCCUAUAAUCCCGAGAGGACCACCAGUGGCAAAGGCGGUCGACUAGAGCGCGCCUGACGGUGAGGGACGAAAGCUGGGGGAGCGAACCGG